GAUGAACGCUGGCGGCGUGCCUAAUACAUGCAAGUCGAACGCUGGAAAUCUAGCUUGCUAGAUUGAAGGAGUGGCGAACGGGUGAGUAAUACAUAAGCAACCUACCCACGAAGACUGGGAUAAUCUCUGGAAACGGGGACUAAUACCGGAUAGGUAAUCGGAAGGCAUCUUCUGAUCAUUAAAGGUUAAAAACACUGGUGGAUGGGCUUAUGGCGCAUUAGUUAGUUGGUGAGGUAACGGCCCACCAAGACGAUGAUGCGUAGCCGGCCUGAGAGGGUGAACGGCCACAUUGGGACUGAGACACGGCCCAGACUCCUACGGGAGGCAGCAGUAGGGAAGUUUCGGCAAUGGGGGAAACCCUGACCGAGCAACGCCGCGUGAGUGAUGACGGCCUUCGGGUUGUAAAGCUCUGUUGUAAGGGAAGAACGGUAGAUAGAGAAUAUCUAAAUGACGGUACCUUACCAGAAAGCCACGGCUAACUACGUG
RNAcentral lists this ribosomal RNA (486 nucleotides) under uncultured bacterium. Its description in RNAcentral is "partial 16S ribosomal RNA". It matches the Rfam family "Bacterial small subunit ribosomal RNA", at positions 28 to 507 of the family's 1533-position model. The record is from RNAcentral.